CAGCAGCCGCGGGAAUACGUAGGUGGCAAGCGUUGUCCGGAAUUAUUGGGCGUAAAGGGCUCGCAGGCGGUUUCUUAAGUCUGAUGUGAAAGCCCCCGGCUCAACUGGGGAGGGUCAUUGGAAACUGGGAAACUUGAGUGCAGAAGAGGAGAGUGGAAUUCCACGUGUAGCGGUGAAAUGCGUAGAGAUGUGGAGGAACACCAGUGGCGAAGGCGACUCUCUGGUCUGUAACUGACGCUGAGGAGCGAAAGCGUGGGGAGCGAACAGGAUUAGAUACCCCAGUAGUCCCUGUCUCUUAUAC
This 301-nucleotide ribosomal RNA is filed under the name uncultured bacterium. Its description in RNAcentral is "partial 16S ribosomal RNA". It matches the Rfam family "Bacterial small subunit ribosomal RNA", at positions 509 to 807 of the family's 1533-position model. The record is from RNAcentral.